CCCCACCUCAGGAGCAGCACCAGGGGGCUCAGCAGGGGAACGCAGAGGCAGAUGGAGCGAGGCAGAGGCUGGCUAGUGUGGGAUUUCAAAGAGGCAGCAGUGUGUUUACCAAUAACAGAAGCAGGCAAACUGAAACUGAAGAGACAGCAGGCAGCUGUGCAUGCCGAGAGGAAAGGGAGAGGGGCAGGCAGGCAGGUGUCAGUCUGUUGGUGAUGCUCUUGGGUCUGCACUAACAAUCCUUUUAAACAGAAAGAGUAACAGAAAGGGGGACAGAGGAGAAAAAAAGUACUUCCAAAGAGGACACCUCCCAGCCUCUGACCCUUGCUGUAGGAACAAGCUCCACUUGGGGAAGGAAAUGAAGCCAGCAGUUCAGGAGAAGGAUUCCUCCCAGUGUCUCUCACCUGCUGACUCCUCUGGGAGAGGAUCCAUGCCCAGGGCUGAGGUCCAGGAGCUGUCCUACAGUGUCUAGGAGAAGGGGCAGAAAGUAGCUGAUAGGACUUGUGGAUUACUCCUUUGAUGUUUGAGGCAUGGAAAGUGGAAUAAUAGCAUAGGAGAGGUAUUGAAUGGGAACAGGAAUCUACCGAAGGAGUGUGCUAACAGGGAGAGAAGUCUGCAUAGGCUGUUGCUGUCUUACAUUAGUGCCAUAGAAUCAUAGAAAUGUUUGGAAGGGACUGCGUUAUUCCAUCUAGUCCAGUCUCCUGCACU
This is a long non-coding RNA of Dermochelys coriacea (leatherback sea turtle), 705 nucleotides long. RefSeq lists it as uncharacterized. The transcript is spliced from 4 exons. Lineage: Eukaryota; Metazoa; Chordata; Testudines; Dermochelyidae. The record is from RefSeq and is a predicted model, not a curated record.